CUCGCACACAGGAUGUCAUCAAAUUCCGGUCAUAUGUCUCUGAUUUGUGGCAGAUGUUUAAACUAUUUUCCCAACGUUUCUAUCAUAAGCUGCGGAGCAGUUCUGGUUUUGUGCAAGGCCUGCCAUCGUAGACUACAUCCGCGCUGUGCCAAAGCGGUUUCCAUAGCAACAUAUGCAGACAAGAUGUGUAAUUUUUGUAGAACAGUUCCCGCCAUCUUAUUAUGCCCCCUUUGUGGACAAACUGACGAUGAUAAGGAUAUGAUGGCUUUGUGUCAGAGAUGUAGUGACCAGCUUCACCACGGCGGUACCUCAAUCCAUACUGACCACACGAUGUCUUUCCCAGCGUGAUCGACCAUGUCAGCACCAGAUCUUCUCCGCUAUGUAUUGAACAUGUCUGCUUCAUCACUUGACUGAAGCAUACUGUAGACGAGCUGUUGGCGAUAUCAGCAGCCAGUCCUAGCACAAAACGGUCGGGCUCGACUAUCCUCUGAUCCUUAUCACCAGACAAUAAACCACAUUUUCGGCAGAUAUAUGCCUCUCUCCCCAGACAUCUCUCUGUGAAAAAUGUAUUUGUAUGUGGUGGAAAUGACCUCAAGAUACUGAGGCUAAGGACCGUCAGUGAUGUAUUCUACAGGACCUUUUUUGCCUGUAGCUGGACUACUUGGAGAACUGAUCAGCAGCUAUGCAGACUAUCCCUUUUUGUUAACUUAGCAAUGUUUGCUGGAUAAAAAAACGUUCUUGCGAAUGUCCUCUGGUCAUUUGGAUUACCUUGUGAUAAAUUAAGGCCAUUUGAACUACAUAGGUGUGUGACCAGAGGACAUUGGUGCUACAUGUGGGUGUGCCCAGAGGACAUUGGGACUACAUUGGUGUGACCAAAGGACAUUGGGACUACAUUGGUGGGUGAUCAGAGGACAUUGAUUGGGAAUACAUGGGUGGGUGACCAGAGGACAUUGGGACUACAUGGGUGGGUGAUCAGAGGACAUUGGGACUACCUGGGUGGGUGACCAGAGGACAUUAAUUUGGACCACAUGGGUGGGUGACCAGAGGACAUUGGGACUACAUUGAUGUGACCAAAGGACAUUGGGACUACAUUGGUGGGUGACCAGAGGACAUUGGGACUAAUGGGUGGGUGACCAGAGGACAUUGGGACUACAUUGGUGGGUGGCCAGAGGACAUUGGGACUACAUGGGUGGGUGACCAGAGGACAUUGGGACUACAUUGGUGGGUGGCCAGAGGACAUUGGGACUACAUUGGUGGGUGACCAGAGGACAUUAAUUGGGACUAAUGGGGGUGUGACCAGAGGACAUUGGGACUACAUAGGUGGGUGACCAGGGACAUUGGGACUACAUUGAUGUGACCAAAGGACAUUGGGACUACAUUGGUGGGUGACCAGAGGACAUUGGGACUAAUGGGUGGGUGACCAGAGGACAUUGGGACUACAUUGGUGGGUGGCCAGAGGACAUUGGGACUACAUGGGUGGGUGACCAGAGGACAUUGGGACUACAUUGGUGGGUGGCCAGAGGACAUUGGGACUACAUUGGUGGGUGACCAGAGGACAUUAAUUGGGACUAAUGGGGGUGUGACCAGAGGACAUUGGGACUACAUAGGUGGGUGACCAGGGACAUUGGGACUACAUUGAUGUGACCAAAGGACAUUGGGACUACAUUGGUGGGUGACCAGAGGACAUUGGGACUAAUGGGUGGGUGACCAGAGGACAUUGGGACUACAUUGGUGGGUGGCCAGAGGACAUUGGGACUACAUGGGUGGGUGACCAGAGGACAUUGGGACUACAUUGGUGGGUGGCCAGAGGACAUUGGGACUACAUUGGUGGGUGACCAGAGGACAUUAAUUGGGACUAAUGGGGGUGUGACCAGAGGACAUUGGGACUACAUAGGUGGGUGACCAGAGGACAUUGGGACUAUAUUGGUGUGACCAAAGGACAUUGGGACUACAUUGGUGGGUGACCAGAGGACAUUAAUUGGGACUAAUGGGUGGGUGACCAGAGGACAUUGGGACUACAUUGGUGGGUGACCAGAGGAUAUUGAUUGGGACUAAUGGGUGGGUGACCAGAGGACAUUGGGGCUACAUUGGAAGGUGACCAGAGGACAUUAAUUGGGACUAAUGGGUGGGUGACCAGAGGACAUUGGGACUACAUGGGUGGGUGAUCAGAGGACAUUGGGACUACCUGGGUGGGUGACCAAAGGACAUUGAUUGGGACUACAUGGGUGGGUGCCCAGAGGACAUUGGGACUACAUUGAUGUGACCAAAGGACAUUGGGACUACAUUGGUGGGUGACCAGAGGACAUUAAUUGGGACUAAUGGGGGUGUGACCAGAGGACGUUGGGACUACAUUGGUGGGUGACCAGAGGACAUUGGGACUAAUGGGAGUGUGACCUGAAGACAGUGGAUUAGGAUUACCUAGGGGUGUGGCCAGAAGACAUGUACACUUGAUGGUGGUACUUCAGAAAGACACCAGUAUUAUCACUUGCGUUUUUGAUGUUAUUUAUUGGGUUGUUGGAUGUGAUUUUGUAAACCACAUUGUAGUUCGCUGGGCGCCACUGUUUUUACACAUUGUUGAAUCGUACUUGUUAUUGAAUUUUAUGGAUUUUAAUGUGCAGGUCACUGUGCAGCUUAGCUACAUAAUGAUUGUUUCAUAAGCCACAGAAGUAAACUGGGUUUGCUUCAGGUCAUAAACAUUUAACAUACUUUUGUACAUGUACAUCUGUAGUUUACUGUGCGAUGUUCUGUAAAAGCUUUGGCCAAAUUGUUUCAAGCUAUCUUGAAUAGGUAUAUUUACAUAUUGGUCUUGAAAUUAAUGCCAUUGUUCAUAUCAGGCCUUUAUGCAUUACCUGUGUUUAGAAUAUGUUGUGUACCUAUAACUAUUUGUUAAGUCUGCCGAAUCUGUUUUUGAUUAUGUUAUACAAAUAAAAUCAUAGUGCGAUAUAAAGGGCCUGUGUCCA
Long non-coding RNA from Mizuhopecten yessoensis (Yesso scallop), 2960 nucleotides. RefSeq lists it as uncharacterized. The record is from RefSeq and is a predicted model, not a curated record. The transcript is spliced from 4 exons. Lineage: Eukaryota; Metazoa; Mollusca; Bivalvia; Pectinida; Pectinidae.